RNAcentral lists this ribosomal RNA (392 nucleotides) under uncultured bacterium. RNAcentral describes it as "bacterial SSU rRNA". It matches the Rfam family "Bacterial small subunit ribosomal RNA", at positions 28 to 420 of the family's 1533-position model. The record is from RNAcentral.
GACGAACGCUGGCGGCGUGCUUAACACAUGCAAGUCGAGCGGUAAGGCCCUUUCGGGGGUACACGAGCGGCGAACGGGUGAGUAACACGUGGGUGACCUGCCCUCAGCUCUGGGAUAAGCCUGGGAAACCGGGUCUAAUACUGGAUAUGACUCCAUGACGCAUGUUGUGGGGUGGAAAGCCUUGUGCGGCUGAGGAUGGGCCCGCGGCCUAUCAGCUUGUUGGUGGGGUGAUGGCCUACCAAGGCGACGACGGGUAGCCGGCCUGAGAGGGCGACCGGCCACACUGGGACUGAGACACGGCCCAGACUCCUACGGGAGGCAGCAGUGGGGAAUCUUGCGCAAGUGGGCGAAAGCCUGACGCAGCGACGCCGCGUGAGGGAUGACGGCCUGGU